Bactrocera oleae (olive fruit fly) is the source of this 473-nucleotide non-coding RNA. NCBI's taxonomy places the organism in Eukaryota, Metazoa, Arthropoda, Insecta, Diptera, Tephritidae. The record is from RefSeq and is a predicted model, not a curated record.
AUUUUAAUGCCCGUAGAGAUAAUGUAAAAUAUUUAAUUUUCCUUAUCAGAUUUAUUUUCUUUUAGUUGAUUUUAACUUUUUUGCCUCAGCUGAUGAAUGCCAAACUUAUAGAAUACCAUAUAUGUGUCACUUUGCUUGUAUGAUAUGCAUAAAGCAGUUAAGCAAUACUCUCUUUGUGCACACAAGACGAAAACCUCCUAGCAGUGACUUAAAAGCAGUAUUCCUGGUUUCUUAUCAGCAGAUGAUUGGCAGUAUGGAAGUCCUGAAUUGACUACAGUAUGUCGUCAGAGUUGGAAAACAAGGCUUGUCGAAAACCCCACAGAAAUUUGGAGAGUGUCAAAAAAUUUUUGGUUCGAGCAGCGUCGUCAACACCAAUAGCAACUGUGCGUGUUGCAAUUGAUCAAUAGCCUAGUCGUUUGAGGUCUUGUGUGAAAGCAAAAGGUGACCUUUUCUAAUAAAAUCUUGUACAUCGC